This 87-nucleotide transfer RNA is filed under the name Smithella sp. Its description in RNAcentral is "tRNA-Leu". It matches the Rfam family "tRNA". Rfam says of the family: Transfer RNA (tRNA) molecules are approximately 80 nucleotides in length. Their secondary structure includes four short double-helical elements and three loops (D, anti-codon, and T loops). Lineage: Bacteria; Pseudomonadati; Thermodesulfobacteriota; Syntrophia; Syntrophales; Smithellaceae. The record is from RNAcentral.
GCCUGGGUGGCGGAAUUGGUAGACGCAAGGGACUUAAAAUCCCUCGGAGGCAACUCUGUGCCGGUUCGAGUCCGGCUCCGGGCACCA